GAGAUAGAGAUUCAUAGACAAAUCCUAUAAUCUUGAUCUUCAAUCAUGUAGUCUUGAUGAGCUCCUUUCCAAGUCUUCCCCUUCUUUAUUUGAUUUUGGUGUUGUUUUUGUGUGUGGAAGAGAGAAAAAAUGGUAGAGAAUGGAGGCUAGGGUUUGGAAUUGGAGAGAAUUGGGGAAGAUGGAGUGGGUGUGUGAUGUUGGGGAUGAUGAAUAAUGUGAGGAAAAGGGGGAGAAAGGGGUUAAAAACGCGUUUGGGGGAGCCCCGCCCUUUUCCCGCGGUCACGGCCCGCGUCCGCGGCCUUCAAACGUGGGGGAG
This 316-nucleotide long non-coding RNA is filed under the name Salvia miltiorrhiza (redroot sage). Its description in RNAcentral is "long non-coding RNA (SMIL_LNC004331)". Lineage: Eukaryota; Viridiplantae; Streptophyta; Magnoliopsida; Lamiales; Lamiaceae. The record is from RNAcentral.